Molecule: ribosomal RNA, 492 nt
Filed under: uncultured bacterium
Lineage: Bacteria
Description: partial 16S ribosomal RNA
Rfam family: Bacterial small subunit ribosomal RNA
Source: RNAcentral
AGUGAACGCUGGCGGUAGGCCUAACACAUGCAAGUCGAACGGCAGCACAGUAAGAGCUUGCUCUUACGGGUGGCGAGUGGCGGACGGGUGAGGAAUACAUCGGAAUCUACUUUUUCGUGGGGGAUAACGUAGGGAAACUUACGCUAAUACCGCAUACGACCUACGGGUGAAAGCAGGGGAUCUUCGGAUCUUGCGCGAUCGCAUGAGCCGAUGUCGGAUUAGCUAGUUGGCGGGGUAAAGGCCCACCAAGGCGACGAUCCGUAGCUGGUCUGAGAGGAUGAUCAGCCACACUGGAACUGAGACACGGUCCAGACUCCUACGGGAGGCAGCAGUGGGGAAUAUUGGACAAUGGGCGCAAGCCUGAUCCAGCCAUACCGCGUGGGUGAAGAAGGCCUUCGGGUUGUAAAGCCCUUUUGUUGGGAAAGAAAAGCAGCAGGUUAAUACCCCGCUGUUCUGACGGUACCCAAAGAAUAAGCACCGGCUAACUUCGUG